RNAcentral lists this ribosomal RNA (497 nucleotides) under uncultured bacterium. RNAcentral describes it as "partial 16S ribosomal RNA". It matches the Rfam family "Bacterial small subunit ribosomal RNA", at positions 28 to 507 of the family's 1533-position model. The record is from RNAcentral.
GACGAACGCUGGCGGCGUGCCUAAUACAUGCAAGUUGAGCGCUGAAGGUUGGUACUUGUACCAACUGGAUGAGCAGCGAACGGGUGAGUAACGCGUGGGGAAUCUGCCUUUGAGCGGGGGACAACAUUUGGAAACGAAUGCUAAUACCGCAUAAAAACUUUAAACACAAGUUUUAAGUUUGAAAGAUGCAAUUGCAUCACUCAAAGAUGAUCCCGCGUUGUAUUAGCUAGUUGGUGAGGUAAAGGCUCACCAAGGCGAUGAUACAUAGCCGACCUGAGAGGGUGAUCGGCCACAUUGGGACGGAGACACGACCCAAUCUCCUGCAGGAGGCAGCAGUAGGGAAUCUUCGGCAAUGGACGAAAGUCUGACCGAGCAACGCCGCGUGAGUGAAGAAGGUUUUCGGAUCGUAAAACUCUGUUGGUAGAGAAGAACGUUGGUGAGAGUGGAAAGCUCAUCAAGUGACGGUAACUACACAGAAAGGGACGGCUAACUACGUG